This 700-nucleotide ribosomal RNA is filed under the name uncultured bacterium. Its description in RNAcentral is "bacterial SSU rRNA". It matches the Rfam family "Bacterial small subunit ribosomal RNA", at positions 90 to 808 of the family's 1533-position model. The record is from RNAcentral.
UCUUAGUGGCGGACGGGUGAGUAACACGUGAGCAACCUGCCUUUGAGAGAGGGAUAGCUUCGGGAAACUGAUGGUAAUACCUCAUAACGUACAUUUGCCGCAUGACAGAUGUACCAAAGAUUUAUCACUCAAAGAUGGGCUCGCGUCUGAUUAGCUAGUUGGUGAGGUAACGGCUCACCAAGGCGACGAUCAGUAGCCGGACUGAGAGGUUGAACGGCCACAUUGGGACUGAGACACGGCCCAGACUCCUACGGGAGGCAGCAGUGGGGAAUAUUGCACAAUGGGGGAAACCCUGAUGCAGCGAUGCCGCGUGGAGGAAGAAGGUUUUCGGAUUGUAAACUCCUGUCUUAAAGGACGAUAAUGACGGUACUUUAGGAGGAAGCUCCGGCUAACUACGUGCCAGCAGCCGCGGUAAUACGUAGGGAGCGAGCGUUGUCCGGAAUUACUGGGUGUAAAGGGAGCGUAGGCGGGACGGCAAGUCAGAUGUGAAAACCACGGGCUCAACCUGUGGACUGCAUUUGAAACUGUUGUUCUUGAGUGAAGUAGAGGUAAGCGGAAUUCCUGGUGUAGCGGUGAAAUGCGUAGAUAUCAGGAGGAACACCGGUGGCGAAGGCGGCUUACUGGGCUUUAACUGACGCUGAGGCUCGAAAGCGUGGGUAGCAAACAGGAUUAGAUACCCUGGUAGUCCACGCUGUAAACG